AUGGCUUCUCAGUCUUUUGGCUAAGAUCAAGUGUAGUAUCUGUUCUUAUCAAUUUAACACUCU
Non-coding RNA from Heterocephalus glaber (naked mole-rat), 63 nucleotides. The record is from Rfam. NCBI's taxonomy places the organism in Eukaryota, Metazoa, Chordata, Mammalia, Rodentia, Bathyergidae.